GGUUGGAACCAUGUCGCAGGCGAGGGGUCUGGCGCAUUUCUUUCUUCACCACGAACAAGUAUGAGUGGGUGUCGAGCUCCGCGACCGCACUGACGAUGCAGCCCGUGUCUUUGCCGAUGUUCUUCGUAUGGAUGCGCGGGUUGCCCUUAGCGGCGCACAUCAUGAGCGACCCUUUGCGUCGGGAUUCGUCGACGUCGUCAUCGCUGCCGUCAACCAAUGGACCCCGGCGAUGGACCCGGCACUGCUUCUGCCAUCGCCUCUGCUGGGGACGGUCGUCGGCAGCCGACGCGAAGAUCUGCCGGUGCCUUGUUCAUUCACCA
Molecule: unclassified non-coding RNA, 320 nt
Filed under: uncultured fungus
Lineage: Eukaryota; Fungi
Description: sequence contains ITS1
Source: RNAcentral